AAAAAAGUGUGUGUGUCCGCUCCGACGCACGACUGGAGUUUACUGGAUAUAAAAAAUUAAACGAAACAAUACGAGAAAUAGUUCUAUAUUACGACAACACGAUACACUACAGAUUAUUAACAAAUUAACGAGACACAAAACAAACGACUAACAAAUAUAUGAAAAUACAAUAAUGAGAGAAACGCGCGAUCAGUACGAGGCUUUGUGGCGGACUGCCGGCGCAGCAGCCCGGCGUCACCUGCGAUAACGCAUUUCGUGUGACAUGCGCAAUCAGGCGCAUAACGCAUUUCGUGUGACAUGCUAGUACGAUUUUGGUUCCCAUAAUUUUCAUACCCCGGGCCUAUAUAUGUAAAUCGAUUCUAAAGGAGUAAACUCCAAAAAUAUAUGUUCUUUGAUUUUUCACCCUGACCGAUAUGCACGCUAAGAUUCACGAAAAUCGGUUGAGCCGUUUCGGAGGAGUUCAAUCACGCACCCCGUGACACGAGAAAUUUAUAUAUUAGAUUUUUAUUUAAUUUUGACAUAAAAAUGUCGAAAAUGGGGUCAACGGCGUCUAUUAAGAGGCCUGCCUCGGCCUCAAUUCAACAUUGAGUUAGAUAAUAUUAUCGAAUACAUAAAUUAAAAUUUCAGAUUCAAAUAAAAAUAACAAUUAAUAUUUACAUGACAGGUUAUUUACAUACUACGUAUUAUUAUGCCUAAUACAAUAUUUGUCCAAAGAAAAAAGGAAUUGAAUUUAGUAAUAUUGAUAACAAUGUGCUUCUAUAAAAGACCGCGAAAAUAAUUCAGGAGACAAUUCGACAUCUCUAUUCACAUUGAAUACGCACGAAAACAACAUGAAACUCUCAAAGUUCCUAGUUUUCUUGAUGGCAAUUAUGAGUCUCGGCCAGGUCCAAGGCAAGAGGACAAGUAGCGACCGCUCCUCCGACCAAAAUCUACUCAACAUUGUAAUAAAAUGCUUGGGAUGAACAUAAA
Molecule: long non-coding RNA, 969 nt
Organism: Bombyx mori (domestic silkworm)
Lineage: Eukaryota; Metazoa; Arthropoda; Insecta; Lepidoptera; Bombycidae
Exons: 2
Source: RefSeq, a predicted model, not a curated record